Molecule: ribosomal RNA, 198 nt
Filed under: uncultured bacterium
Lineage: Bacteria
Description: partial 16S ribosomal RNA
Rfam family: Bacterial small subunit ribosomal RNA
Source: RNAcentral
ACGCUCGACACCUACGGGGGGCAGCAGUGGGGGAUAUUGCACAAUGGGGGAAACCCUGAUGCAGCAACGCCGCGUGAAGGAUGAAGGUUUUCGGAUUGUAAACUUCUGUUCUUAGUGACGAUAAUGACGGUAGCUAAGAAGAAAGCUCCGGCUAACUACGUGCCAACAGCCGCGGUAAUCUGAGCGGGCUGGCAAGGC